CCUACGGGUGGCAGCAGUGAGGAAUAUUGGUCAAUGGCCGCAGGGCUGAACCAGCCAAGUCGCGUGAGGGAUGACGGUCCUAUGGAUUGUCACCCUCUUUUGUCAGGGAGCAAAGGGCGCCACGUGUGGCGUUUUGCGAGUACAUGAAGAAAAAGCAUCGGCUAACUCCGUGCCAGCAGCCGCGGUAAUACGUAGGGUGCGAGCGUUACUCGGAAUUACUGGGCGUAAAGGGUGCGCAGGCGGUUGAGUAAGACAGAUGUGAAAUCCCCAAGCUUAACUCGGGAAUGGCAUAUGUGACUGCUCGACUAGAGUGUGUCAGAGGGAGGUGGAAGUCCACGUGUAGCAGUGAAAUGCGUAGAUAUGUGGAAGAACAUCGAUGGCGAAGGCAGCCUCCUGGGACAUAACUGACGCUCAGGCACGAAAGCGUGGGGAGCAAACAGGAUUAGAUACCCUUGUAGUC
This 460-nucleotide ribosomal RNA is filed under the name uncultured bacterium. RNAcentral's name for it is "partial 16S ribosomal RNA". It matches the Rfam family "Bacterial small subunit ribosomal RNA", at positions 338 to 795 of the family's 1533-position model. The record is from RNAcentral.